This 655-nucleotide ribosomal RNA is filed under the name Melithaea coccinea. RNAcentral's name for it is "eukaryotic LSU rRNA". It matches the Rfam family "Eukaryotic large subunit ribosomal RNA", at positions 402 to 866 of the family's 3401-position model. The record is from RNAcentral. Lineage: Eukaryota; Metazoa; Cnidaria; Anthozoa; Malacalcyonacea; Melithaeidae.
AAACCGUUGAAAGGGAAGCGAAUGGAGUUAGCAAUUCGCCCUGUCAGACUCAGCCGCUCGCGGGUAGCGACGCGCGCGUUCUCGAUCCACAUGGACGAGACGCGCGCGGGUGCGACCUGCGGUCGGCGCACUUCUGGCGGGCGAGCGUCAGCGUCGGUCGCGGACGGGCGAGAAGGUCGCGAGGAAGGUGGACCGGUCUCACGGCCGGUUGUUAAGCCUCGCGCUCGCACGGCCCGACGGCGACCGUGGCUCCGAGAGGCGACGCGUGCCUGGCUGGCGACUCGCUCGAUCGGUCCGGCAUGUCGACCGUGGCGGACGGCACGCCUGUGCGCUCGAACCGCUGCCGGUCGAUCGGACGAUGUUCGCACACUACGCGUCGAAGAUGCUGACGACCAUACGGCUCCAUCCGACCCGUCUUGAAACACGGACCAAGGAGUCUAACAUGUGCGCGAGUCUCCGGGCGAUGGAAACCCGUGGGCGCAAUGAAAGUAAAGAUCGUCUCCGACGAUUGAGGUGAGAAGCCGGCGCCACGCGCUCCGGCCGCAUCAUCGACCGACCUGUUCUGCUCUCAGAAAGGUUUGAGUAAGAGCGUAUCUGUUGGGACCCGAAAGAUGGUGAACUAUGCCUGAAUAGGGUGAAGCCAGCGGAAACACUG